This is a ribosomal RNA of Erinaceus europaeus (western European hedgehog), 117 nucleotides long. Lineage: Eukaryota; Metazoa; Chordata; Mammalia; Eulipotyphla; Erinaceidae. The record is from Ensembl.
GUCUGUGGAGACACCAGUCUGAACAUCUCUGAUCUUGUCUGAUAUUGGAAACCAAGCAGGGAGGGGCAGGGCUGGUUAGCACCUGGAUAGGAGACAUGAGCCUCUGUGGCAUGGUCA